This 359-nucleotide RNase P RNA is filed under the name Candidatus Shikimatogenerans bostrichidophilus. Its description in RNAcentral is "RNase P RNA component class A". It matches the Rfam family "Bacterial RNase P class A". From Rfam's summary of the family: Ribonuclease P (RNase P) is a ubiquitous endoribonuclease, found in archaea, bacteria and eukarya as well as chloroplasts and mitochondria. Its best characterised activity is the generation of mature 5'-ends of tRNAs by cleaving the 5'-leader elements of precursor-tRNAs. The record is from RNAcentral. Lineage: Bacteria; Pseudomonadati; Bacteroidota; Flavobacteriia; Flavobacteriales.
UAAGUUAUUUUCUUUAUCACAUUAUUUUAAUUUUAUUAAUAAAAUUAAUUAAUGAGGAAAGUCCGGACACUAAAUAGAAAUACAAUGGAUAACAUCCAUACAUCGUAAGAUGAUGAAAAGUGCAACAGAAAGAAUGUAUAAAAAUUUAUAAAAAAUUUUUAAUAGUGAAAUCAUGUAAACUCUGUAUAGUGAAAUGUCAAAAUACCAUAAAUUAUUUCUAUUAUAUUAAAAAAUAUGGUUGGUAGACAGAUUGAUAUAUAUGGUAACAUAUAUACUAGAUAAAUGAUAAAGAUAUUUAUAUUUUUUUAUUAAUUUAUAAUAUAAAUAUACAGAAUUCGGCUUAUAUAUUAACUUAAUAA